CUUUGGUGGCGACCGGCGCACGGGUGCGUAACGCGUAUGUAACCUACCUAUAACAGGGGCAUAACACUGAGAAAUUGGUACUAAUUCCCCAUAAUAUUCGGAGAGGCAUCUCUCCGGGUUGAAAACUCCGGUGGUUAUAGAUGGACAUGCGUUGUAUUAGCUAGUUGGUGAGGUAACGGCUCACCAAGGCAACGAUACAUAGGGGGACUGAGAGGUUAACCCCCCACACUGGUACUGAGACACGGACCAGACUCCUACGGGAGGCAGCAUG
Molecule: ribosomal RNA, 271 nt
Filed under: uncultured bacterium
Lineage: Bacteria
Description: partial 16S ribosomal RNA
Rfam family: Bacterial small subunit ribosomal RNA
Source: RNAcentral